GAUGAACGCUGGCGGCGUGCCUAAUACAUGCAAGUCGAGCGAACGGACGAGAAUCUUGCUUUUCUUAUGUUAGCGGCGGACGGGUGAGUAACACGUGUAUAACCUACCUAUAAGACUGGGAUCAUUUCGGGAAACCGGAUCUAAUACCGGAUAAUAUUUUGAACCGCAUGGUUCUAUAGUGAAAUACGGUUUUGCUGUCUCUUAUAGAUGUUUCCUCGCUGCAUUAGCUAGUUGGUAAGGUAACGGCUUACCAAGGCAACGAUGCGUAGCCGACCUGACAGGGUGAUCGGCCACACUGGAACUGAGACACGGUCCAGACUCCUACGGGAGGCAGCAGUAGGGAAUCUUGCGCAAUGGGCGAAAGCAUGACGGAGCAACGCCGCGUGAGUGAUGAAGGUCUUCGGAUCGUAAAACUCUGUUAUUAGGGAAGAACAUAUGUGAAAGUAACUGUGCACAUCUUGACGGUAACUAAUCAGAAAGCAACGGCUAACUACGUG
RNAcentral lists this ribosomal RNA (497 nucleotides) under uncultured bacterium. RNAcentral's name for it is "partial 16S ribosomal RNA". It matches the Rfam family "Bacterial small subunit ribosomal RNA", at positions 28 to 507 of the family's 1533-position model. The record is from RNAcentral.